RNAcentral lists this ribosomal RNA (254 nucleotides) under uncultured bacterium. RNAcentral describes it as "partial 16S ribosomal RNA". It matches the Rfam family "Bacterial small subunit ribosomal RNA", at positions 524 to 776 of the family's 1533-position model. The record is from RNAcentral.
UACGUAGGGUGCGAGCGUUGUCCGGAAUUAUUGGGCGUAAAGAGCUCGUAGGCGGUCUGUCGCGUCGGUCGUGAAAACUUGGGGCUUAACCCUGAGCUUGCGGUCGAUACGGGCAUGACUGGAGUUCGGCAGGGGAGACUGGAAUUCCUGGUGUAGCGGUGAAAUGCGCAGAUAUCAGGAGGAACACCGGUGGCGAAGGCAGCUCACUGGGACGGUACUGACGCUGAGACGCGAAAGCGUGGGGAGCAAACAGG